ACGCUCGACAGUGUCAGCAGCCGCGGUAAUACAGAGGGUGCAAGCGUUAAUCGGAAUUACUGGGCGUAAAGCGCGCGUAGGUGGUUUGUUAAGUUGGUAUGUGAAAUCCCCGGGCUCAACCUGGGAACUGCAUCCAAAACUGGCAAGCUAGAGUAUGGGUAGAGGGUGGUGGAAUUUCCUGUGUAGCGGUGAAAUGCGUAGAUAUAGGAAGGAACACCAGUGGCGAAGGCGACCACCUGGACUGAUACUGACACUGAGGUGCGAAAGGCGUGGGGAGCGAAACAGGAUUACGAUACCCUGGUAGUCCACGCCGUAAACGAUGUCAACUAGCCGUUGGGAGCCUUGAGCUCUUAGUGGCGCAGCUAACGCGUUAAGUAUCCCGCCUGGGGAGUACGUUCGCAAGAAUGAAACUCAAAGGAA
This 420-nucleotide ribosomal RNA is filed under the name uncultured bacterium. Its description in RNAcentral is "bacterial SSU rRNA". It matches the Rfam family "Bacterial small subunit ribosomal RNA", at positions 493 to 909 of the family's 1533-position model. The record is from RNAcentral.